GAUGAACGCUGGCGGCGUGCCUAAUACAUGCCAGUCGAGCGAACAGAUAAGGAGCUUGCUCCUUUGACGUUAGCGGCGGACGGGUGAGUAACACGUGGGUAACCUACCUAUAAGACUGGGAUAACUUCGGGAAGCCGGAGCUAAUACCGGAUAACAUUUGGAACCGCAUGGUUCUAAAGUGAAAGAUGGUUUUGCUAUCACUUAUAGAUGGACCCGCGCCGUAUUAGCUAGUUGGUAAGGUAACGGCUUACCAAGGCGACGAUACGUAGCCGACCUGAGAGGGUGAUCGGCCACACUGGAACUGAGACACGGUCCAGACUCCUACGGGAGGCAGCAGUAGGGAAUCUUCCGCAAUGGGCGAAAGCCUGACGGAGCAACGCCGCGUGAGUGAUGAAGGGUUUCGGCUCGUAAAACUCUGUUAUUAGGGAAGAACAAAUGUGUAAGUAACUGUGCACGUCUUGACGGUACCUAAUCAGAAAGCCACGGCUAACUACGUG
RNAcentral lists this ribosomal RNA (497 nucleotides) under uncultured bacterium. Its description in RNAcentral is "partial 16S ribosomal RNA". It matches the Rfam family "Bacterial small subunit ribosomal RNA", at positions 28 to 507 of the family's 1533-position model. The record is from RNAcentral.